This 502-nucleotide ribosomal RNA is filed under the name Klebsiella pneumoniae. RNAcentral describes it as "bacterial SSU rRNA". It matches the Rfam family "Bacterial small subunit ribosomal RNA", at positions 220 to 714 of the family's 1533-position model. Lineage: Bacteria; Pseudomonadati; Pseudomonadota; Gammaproteobacteria; Enterobacterales; Enterobacteriaceae. The record is from RNAcentral.
AUCAGAUGUGCCCAGAUGGGAUUAGCUAGUAGGUGGGGUAACGGCUCACCUAGGCGACGAUCCCUAGCUGGUCUGAGAGGAUGACCAGCCACACUGGAACUGAGACACGGUCCAGACUCCUACGGGAGGCAGCAGUGGGGAAUAUUGCACAAUGGGCGCAAGCCUGAUGCAGCCAUGCCGCGUGUGUGAAGAAGGCCUUCGGGUUGUAAAGCACUUUCAGCGGGGAGGAAGGCGUUAAGGUUAAUAACCUUGGCGAUUGACGUUACCCGCAGAAGAAGCACCGGCUAACUCCGUGCCAGCAGCCGCGGUAAUACGGAGGGUGCAAGCGUUAAUCGGAAUUACUGGGCGUAAAGCGCACGCAGGCGGUCUGUCAAGUCGGAUGUGAAAUCCCCGGGCUCAACCUGGGAACUGCAUUCGAAACUGGCAGGCUAGAGUCUUGUAGAGGGGGGUAGAAUUCCAGGUGUAGCGGUGAAAUGCGUAGAGAUCUGGAGGAAUACCGGUG